RNAcentral lists this ribosomal RNA (600 nucleotides) under uncultured fungus. RNAcentral's name for it is "eukaryotic LSU rRNA". The stretch from base 250 to 400 matches the Rfam family "5.8S ribosomal RNA". The record is from RNAcentral. Lineage: Eukaryota; Fungi.
CUUGGUCAUUUAGAGGAGUAAAAGUCGUAACAAGGUUUCCGUAGGUGAACCUGCGGAAGGAUCAUAAUGUAACCGGACCGGUCCUUUGCCGUAAAACGCACCGGAUUGGAAAGGAGAUAUCAUACACCCUGUGUUUAUUUACCUUUGUUGCUUUGGCGGGCCGCCUUUAGGCGUCGGCCCCGGCUGAUCGCGCCCGCCAGAGGACCCAAACUUUUUAUCAGUGAUGUCUGAGUACUAUAUAAUAGUUAAAACUUUCAACAAGGAUCUCUUGGUUCUGGCAUCGAUGAAGAACGCAGCGAAAUGCGAUAAGAAUGUGAAUUGCAGAAUUCAGUGAAUCAUCGAAUCUUUGAACGCACAUUCGCCCGCUGGUAUUCCGGCGGGCAUGCCUGUUCGAGCGUCAUUAUGACCAUCAAGCUCUGCUUGGCCUUGGGGCCCGCUGUACCGGCGGCCCUUAAAAUAGUGGCGGUGCCGUCUGGCUCUAAGCGUAGUAAUACUUCUCGCUAUAGGUCCAGUCGUUUACCCGCCAGAACCCCCAACUUUCUUAGGUUGACCUCGAUCAGGUAGGGAUACCCGCUGAACUUAAGCAUAUCAAUAAGCGGG